AUAAGUUAAAACACAAAGUAUAGAGCAGUAAUAACAUUUAUGAGUAAGCAGAAAAUAUGUAUGUAUUUAUUUGUUCUUCCAAUCUUCUUCAAUUUUUUCUAGUAUUUGAAUGUUUUAUUUUGUGUUUAUGAUUGGUGAAUAGAGAGUGAGAAAAAGUUCAUUUCAAAAGUUGUCAAAGCAUUACAUGAAACCAACUUUUAUAUGCAACUAUUUUUACAACAUUCUUGCUCUAGAUUAUAAGAGUAUACAAUAAUAUUAAAAGGUAAUUGAAGUAUGAUGACAUCAUCAAGCUAGUACAAAAUUUACACCAUUGAACAUGACAUAGAAAGAGAAAGAGACAUAACUAUAUAUUUUAAGUAAUGUUGCUGCUAGAUAUUAAAACCACAUUGAUGCAAUCAUAAAUAAAUGGCCGCAACCUUGUAAAAUAAGACUCACUGGCAGUAAUCAACCAUGAAUGCUUUGUUAGGUUUGGAGUUGGCAAUUCUGUGAACAAAAGGGUCUAUUUGUAAAUGUUUUGAAAGUUAAAGGUCAAUCUGUAAAUGUUUAAAAGGCAAGGACUAUGAUGCAAUUUUGUAAGAGUAUGUUGGGGUUCGAGUUGUGAAAAGGAGAAGAAGAGUCAUCGAAAAAUUUUGCUAGCUAAUCUCCAGGAGAUUGCUCGAGGGUAAAAAACAGAGACCUCGUCGCUAGUUGAUCGUCCCUGCCUCACUCGAGCAAAAUAGCAUCGCUCAAUUUUCGCUAAUGUCGCUUGAGUGAUAAUACAUUCUGGAGAAACCCUUUUAGUGUUUUUCGAGAUGUUGACCCCGUCCACACUACCAAGAACACUUUAUAUAUAUUCUAGUGCAUCAUUUUCAUAUGUCUUCAGGGGAUUGAACAUUGAGAACACAUCCUACACCUUGUCAUCUUGAAUCAAUCCCACUUUCUUGUUGGUGCACUCAUAAACCCAUCAAAAUGCACACCCAUUAAACACCAAAACAUGUCCUUCUAGAGCAUUUGUCAUGGUUUAAAAUCAAGAGCCGGGAGAUCGAAGUUUCGAUCAUUGGAGAGCAGGGAGUUCUUAGGAAUCCACAGGAGAUAGAUGAAAUCAAGAGCCGGGAGUUGAUGCAAGAGCACGCAUUCCAGGAGGACUUUAUGGAAUCACAGUCAAGAGGUAAGUAAAACUAAUAUUGGUUGAGCCUGACGUACUAUAAGUUGGUUUUCAUUUAUAGUGGAUUUAUACUGGCUUGGGUCCAAGUUUUUAAUCCCAUAAGGGGGUUUCUCCGUCAUCAAUUUGCUUGUGUUAUUUAUUUUUCUACAAUUUACUAUACUGCAACAAUUAAACAUAGGGUUAGUAUGCAUGUGAAUUGAUCUAGAUAAAAUUAAUAAUUGUGAGUUGUUACAAUUAUUAAUUAACUGGUUUAAGUUCCACAUAAACACCUAUUCACCUCUCCUUUAGGUGUUAGUUGGGUCAAACUGCGUUCUUUCAAGUGGUACCGAAUCUUAAGCUCGAAUUCUUACCCAAAUUUGUAUCUAGAUGAGUCAAUCACUGUUCGUGACUCCGUAUUUUGACAGAAGCAACUAUGCAUACUGGAAAGCUAGGGUGAGAGCAUUUCUUAAGUCCCUGAAUGAAUGCAUUUGGGUUAGUGUGCAAAAUGGUUGGAGAGUCCCAUCCACUACUCUGUCAGGUGUAGUCACUUCCACUAAUAUUUCAUUUUGGACUAAGGAAGAAUUAGCUAACUGUAACUGAAAUAGCAAAGGACUCCAUGCAUUGUUUAUGACUGUGUCUUCCAAAGAGUUUAGGAGAGUGCUAAUGUGCGAAACUGCUAAGAAGUUA
Molecule: long non-coding RNA, 1810 nt
Filed under: Olea europaea subsp. europaea
Lineage: Eukaryota; Viridiplantae; Streptophyta; Magnoliopsida; Lamiales; Oleaceae
Source: RNAcentral